RNAcentral lists this long non-coding RNA (321 nucleotides) under Gallus gallus (chicken). RNAcentral's name for it is "long non-coding RNA NONGGAT009444". The record is from RNAcentral. Lineage: Eukaryota; Metazoa; Chordata; Aves; Galliformes; Phasianidae.
CGAAGAUGUCUGCAGAAAACCGACCAGUUACUGUUGCCAGAGGCAUUGAUGAGAAUGGUUGGAAGCCAAAAGGGAAGGAGGUAGAAGUGCUCCUGGCUGCAGAGAAGCGUGCUGAAGUUGGUGGUGUGGUCAGGUGCAGCAGUGGCAGAGCUUAGCAGCAUUUACCAAAAUGAGCUGAAGACCUGCUGUGCUGUGGCACUGCUGUGGGAGGGAGGCAGGCACUGAGCUGACAGUGGGCAAGGAGUGCUCUGUAGGCACUGAGACCUCCAUGGUGGUUCUGCCCUCAGAGCUCUCAAGCGAAGGCAAGCUUCUAGACUUCUG